This 73-nucleotide transfer RNA is filed under the name Sphaerodactylus townsendi. RNAcentral describes it as "tRNA-Ala". The record is from RNAcentral. Lineage: Eukaryota; Metazoa; Chordata; Lepidosauria; Squamata; Sphaerodactylidae.
GAGGACUAUGGCUCAGUGGCAGAGGAUCUGCUUUGCAUGCAGAAGGUCCCAGGUUUAAACCCCGCCAUCUUUA